Molecule: ribosomal RNA, 239 nt
Filed under: uncultured bacterium
Lineage: Bacteria
Description: partial 16S ribosomal RNA
Rfam family: Bacterial small subunit ribosomal RNA
Source: RNAcentral
GCGUUAAUCGGAAUUACUGGGCGUAAAGGGUGCGCAGGCGGCGUCGCAAGUCAGGCGUGAAAUCCCCGGGCUUAACCUGGGAACUGCACUUGAAACUACGAUGCUGGAGUAUGGCAGAGGGAGGUGGAAUUCCACGUGUAGCGGUGAAAUGCGUAGAGAUGUGGAGGAACACCGAUGGCGAAGGCAGCCUCCUGGGCCAAUACUGACGCUCAUGCACGAAAGCGUGGGGAGCAAACAGG